This 456-nucleotide ribosomal RNA is filed under the name uncultured bacterium. RNAcentral describes it as "partial 16S ribosomal RNA". It matches the Rfam family "Bacterial small subunit ribosomal RNA", at positions 355 to 803 of the family's 1533-position model. The record is from RNAcentral.
UGGGGAAUUUUGGACAAUGGGCGAAAGCCUGAUCCAGCAAUGCCGCGUGUGUGAAGAAGGCCUUCGGGUUGUAAAGCACUUUUGUCCGGAAAGAAAUCCUUGGCUCUAAUACAGUCGGGGGAUGACGGUACCGGAAGAAUAAGCACCGGCUAACUACGUGCCAGCAGCCGCGGUAAUACGUAGGGUGCAAGCGUUAAUCGGAAUUACUGGGCGUAAAGCGUGCGCAGGCGGUUUGCUAAGACCGAUGUGAAAUCCCCGGGCUCAACCUGGGAACUGCAUUGGUGACUGGCAGGCUAGAGUAUGGCAGAGGGGGGUAAAUUCCACGUGUAGCAGUGAAAUGCGUAGAGAUGUGGAGGAAUACCGAUGGCGAAGGCAGCCCCCUGGGCCAAUACUGACGCUCAUGCACGAAAGCGUGGGGGAGCAAACAGGAUUAGAUACCCUGGUAGUCCACGCCCU